UCGAGAAUCAUUCACAAUGGAGGCAACUCUGAUGGUGCAACGCCGCGUGGAGGAUGACGGUCCUAGGAUUGUAAACUCCUGUCAUUGGGGAGUAAGACUUAAGCGUUAAGAGCGUUUAAGUUUGAUAGUACCCAAAGAGGAAGGGACGGCUAACUUCGUGCCAGCAGCCGCGGUAAUACGAAGGUCCCAAGCGUUGUUCGGAAUCACUGGGCGUAAAGCGUGUGUAGGCUGCGCGGAAAGUCAAAUGUGAAAGCCCGGGGCUCAACCUCGGAACUGCAUUCGAUACUCCCGUGCUAGAGUAAUGGAGAGGUAAGUGGAAUUCCUGGUGUAGCAGUGAAAUGCGUGGAUAU
RNAcentral lists this ribosomal RNA (350 nucleotides) under uncultured bacterium. RNAcentral describes it as "bacterial SSU rRNA". It matches the Rfam family "Bacterial small subunit ribosomal RNA", at positions 355 to 697 of the family's 1533-position model. The record is from RNAcentral.